CCAAUUUUAUUAACUGAAAUUUUCAAAUUAUUACAUCACACAACGAAGAGCAAACUUAUCAACUCUUUUUGGCAGCCAAUAAUAUGGACUAAGGGACUUCAACACUCAUAGGUGCAAUAACAACCAACUUUAUUAGGAUCACCUUUGGCACUGCAUUCAUAUCCGUCUGCUUUCUCUUGCCCGUAUUUACUAAAACACUUGGCACGGCAAUCAUCUAAUGUACAUCCGCUAUCAUACAAUUGAGUUUUGCAUAACUUCUGCGCAUACACUUGACGGACAUUUUCCUUCAACACAACUACAAAAUUUACAACUUAAACAAGUGAAUAAACAAAAUGGAUAAUACUUGCAUCCUCCACAUGUCUCAUGUUUUGCAAAUAACGUAUCUUGAUCGAAUAAAAUCAACUAUUGGAAUCGUUCAAUUUAUCAAUAUUCAUUUGAAAACAAAUUCUACAAAAAAUUAUUCAAAUUGCAGAUCAUUUUAUCAUCCAAAUGUAUCCAGUAAAUGGAUGAUUGAUCAUAAGCAUAUUAUUUGGUAUAUAAACUGUCGUUUGUUCUAUACAUUUAAAUGACUAAGUAAUAUUCGAUUGAAAUGAUUUUUUUUGUAGAGAUGAUCUUCAAAUGAAGAUACAACGACUUAAAGACAAGUGUUUUGCCACUUUACGUUUUCAUUUUAAAUUGAAAAGGUGGUAUGUCCACAUACACUGUAAACAUGUAAAAAUCUAAAAUCUUUCGUAUAGUUCUUACCACAAAGAUAAACAAAUAAAAAACUGGAAAAAUAGUGGCAAAGGAAAAAGAAAACAAACCUGUGGCAAGAAGAACAAGUAAGAAGAAAUGAAAUAAAGAAAGCCUAGACAUCUCUACAACUCUCUGUGGUAAAUACUGCUAAUAUCUCGG
Molecule: long non-coding RNA, 894 nt
Filed under: Malus domestica (apple)
Lineage: Eukaryota; Viridiplantae; Streptophyta; Magnoliopsida; Rosales; Rosaceae
Description: long non-coding RNA (MDOM_LNC021161)
Source: RNAcentral